CGUACCCAGCGCUGCCCCACGACGCCCUGUAACGGCCGUGUCAGUGGCAGCUCCAUCGUGCCCCACGAUGACGAACCCCCCUGAAAGACCCCCCAGCCUGGUAUAUAUGCGGCUGGGGGGAGAAGGGGGGGUAAGCAAGAACUUCCAGAGCAUUCUCUUACUUGCUACUAUUAUCUCUCCUUAUCCUCCAAUCUCCUCUGACUUGAUCGUCGGAGGGCCCCCACUA
Molecule: long non-coding RNA, 226 nt
Filed under: Phoenix dactylifera (date palm)
Lineage: Eukaryota; Viridiplantae; Streptophyta; Magnoliopsida; Arecales; Arecaceae
Description: long non-coding RNA (PDAC_LNC017104)
Source: RNAcentral